UUUGUAGCUCUUGCCGAACUCUGGCUGG
Molecule: non-coding RNA, 28 nt
Filed under: Rattus norvegicus (Norway rat)
Lineage: Eukaryota; Metazoa; Chordata; Mammalia; Rodentia; Muridae
Source: RNAcentral